GCCAACCAGUGUUUUUAAUUUCCACUCACUGCCAGUCACUCCGGCGUGAGCCAGCGCAGGGUGUGAGCUCGGAGAGGCCGUGUGUCCAGAGAUGAGAAAAGCAGCCGCAGCCUGGGCGCCGCUGAGGAACAGGCCCCAUGUCUCAGAGAUGGGAGUCAUGGAAACCAGCCACAACCGUAGAUACGCUGGAAAUAUUCUUCAACAAUUCAUUAAGUAAAUGAGUAGAUGCCUGCUGUAUGUCAAAUCCUGUGGAAAGCUGUGGGUGGGAACUGUGUGUGGGCAGCCCUUCUGAUUCUAGUGCUAGUCAAGUAAAGACAUGAGAUUCU
Molecule: long non-coding RNA, 326 nt
Organism: Pipistrellus kuhlii (Kuhl's pipistrelle)
Lineage: Eukaryota; Metazoa; Chordata; Mammalia; Chiroptera; Vespertilionidae
Exons: 3
Source: RefSeq, a predicted model, not a curated record